RNAcentral lists this ribosomal RNA (371 nucleotides) under uncultured organism. RNAcentral describes it as "bacterial SSU rRNA". It matches the Rfam family "Bacterial small subunit ribosomal RNA", at positions 526 to 896 of the family's 1533-position model. The record is from RNAcentral.
CGUAGGCAGCGAGCGUUGUUCGGAGUUACUGGGCGUAAAGGGUGUGUAGGCGGUUCUUUAAGUUUGGUGUGAAAUCUCCCGGCUCAACCGGGAGGGUGCGCCGAAUACUGAGGGACUUGGAGUGCGGGAGAGGAAAGUGGAAUUCCUGGUGUAGCGGUGAAAUGCGUAGAUAUCAGGAGGAACACCGGUGGUGUAGACGGCUUUCUGGACCGUAACUGACGCUGAAACACGAAAGCGUGGGUAGCAAACAGGAUUAGAUACCCUGGUAGUCCACGCCCUAAACGAUGCAUAUUUGGUGUGGGUCAUUCAGUUGAUCCGUGCCGGAGCUAACGCGUUAAAUAUGCCGCCUGGGGAGUACAGUCGCAAGGCUG